GACGAACGCUGGCGGCGCGCCUAACACAUGCAAGUCGAACGAGCGAGAGAGAGCUUGCUUUCUUGAGCGAGUGGCGAACGGGUGAGUAACGCGUGAGGAACCUGCCUCAAAGAGGGGGACAACAGUUGGAAACGACUGCUAAUACCGCAUAAGCCCACGGUGCCGCAUGGCACAGAGGGAAAAGGAGCAAUCCGCUUUGAGAUGGCCUCGCGUCCGAUUAGCUAGUUGGUGAGGUAACGGCCCACCAAGGCGACGAUCGGUAGCCGGACUGAGAGGUUGAACGGCCACAUUGGGACUGAGACACGGCCCAGACUCCUACGGGAGGCAGCAGUGGGGAAUAUUGCACAAUGGGGGAGACCCUGAUGCAGCGACGCCGCGUGGAGGAAGAAGGUCUUCGGAUUGUAAACUCCUGUUGUUGGGGAAGAUAAUGACGGUACCCAACAAGGAAGUGACGGCUAACUACGUG
RNAcentral lists this ribosomal RNA (466 nucleotides) under uncultured bacterium. Its description in RNAcentral is "partial 16S ribosomal RNA". It matches the Rfam family "Bacterial small subunit ribosomal RNA", at positions 28 to 507 of the family's 1533-position model. The record is from RNAcentral.